This is a long non-coding RNA of Triticum aestivum (bread wheat), 516 nucleotides long. RefSeq lists it as uncharacterized. The transcript is spliced from 2 exons. Lineage: Eukaryota; Viridiplantae; Streptophyta; Magnoliopsida; Poales; Poaceae. The record is from RefSeq and is a predicted model, not a curated record.
UUCUGUUGUCCCUUUCAUUCAUCUCCUUCCCCAAGAAGAAAGGCCGGCGACGCCAUGGCCGAGACGGCGUGGGAGCUCGCCGAACUAUUCGUCCUCCGCCCGUCCUCGCCAUCUUCUUCGCCCUCUCAUUCAUCCUCCUGAGAGCUGGUACGUCGCGUGGAGGACGGUGCUGGUGCACGUCCCGCUCGUGCAGGAGGUCACCGGACUACGCCGGAACAAGAAGCCUGCCAAGCCCAAGCCCCCCAACCGCGGCCGCAUCGGCAGGUUCUCUUCUACCAGUCGCAGGCAGAAGCGCAGAGGUGAACGAAGUAACCAAGAUUAGAUUUCUCGGAUGUCCCCCAAGGGGCCUAACCAAGAUUUUUAUUCCGCUUCUGUUCCAGUUCAAGAGUGAGUAUCUCAGAAAAAAAGAGUGAGUAUCUGAUCUGCUGGGAUUUGGAUGCACUUGGUCUAUCCAACAAAGUGGCUUCGGUUAAGUGACAAAUAUGAUGUUAUGAUUAGCUGCCGCUGGUUGUUUCA